Tachysurus fulvidraco (yellow catfish) is the source of this 669-nucleotide long non-coding RNA. RefSeq lists it as uncharacterized. The transcript is spliced from 4 exons. NCBI's taxonomy places the organism in Eukaryota, Metazoa, Chordata, Actinopteri, Siluriformes, Bagridae. The record is from RefSeq and is a predicted model, not a curated record.
UGUGUGUGUGUGUGUGUGUGUGUGUGUGUGUUUGGUUAUAGGUCAGCGUUUAUUUAAAGACACCUCUUUUAUUGGAUCUCUCACAAAGUGUGACCUAGUUUAGCUAGCUGGGCUUUAAAGGGUGCAAGGCUGGGCAUUCAAGGGUUGAUAAGUAGCAGCCUCUGUUUCUGACUUUCACUAUUUCACUACAACUACUCAUUUUGCUUCAAGCAGUACAAUUAUAGGACCUCCUUGUCCUUAGCUCUGGGUAACGUCUGACACAGUUUCACAUGUGACUUUGUCAGUUUCUUCAAGGCUUCUUCAAGGGAUUUCCCCUAAAAACAUGCCAAAUAUAGGAGCAUAAUAAAGUGGUAAAAUGGUAUGGUCUCCAGCAGCAUCCAGGAAGCCCCACCACUUCUCAGGAAAAGACUGUGGCACAAAUAGAAGACUUUCGGGAGCUAAAUGGACCAACAAAAAGCUCUCGUAAAAAAUGACAAAAACAGCAGAGGAGAGAAGGGAUGGAAAUGGGCGUGGGUGAGGAACUAGGCUUUUCCUGCCAUAAUCAGAAGUCAAGAGUAUUUCCUGUCAUUGUAGGAGCUUUAGGCCCAUUAACAAUGCUUAAAAUGUCCAAACACUCAAACUUUUAAUUGUAAUUCCAAAUACUCACAAGUUAUAUUGUAAUAACGUCAU